Molecule: ribosomal RNA, 330 nt
Filed under: uncultured Actinomycetes bacterium
Lineage: Bacteria; Bacillati; Actinomycetota; Actinomycetes
Description: bacterial SSU rRNA
Rfam family: Bacterial small subunit ribosomal RNA
Source: RNAcentral
GACGAACGCUGGCGGCGUGCCUAACACAUGCAAGUGGAGCGACGAACCAGGGCUUGCCCUGGGGCAAAGCCGCGAACGGGUGAGUAACACGUGGGUAACCUGCCCCGAUGACCGGGACAACCCGAGGAAACUCGGGCUAAUACCGGAUGUGCUCCACACACAUCAGUGUGUGGAGUAAAGGAAGCUUCGGCCUCCGCUUCGGGAGGGGCCCGCGGCCCAUUAGCUAGUUGGUGAGGUAACGGCUCACCAAGGCAACGAUGGGUAGCUGGUCUGAGAGGACGAUCAGCCACACUGGGACUGAGACACGGCCCAGACUCCUACGGGAGGCUG